CUUCUUGCAAAACUUAUGCCUUAAUGAAAUUCAUGAAUCAAGAGAAAUUGUUGUUCCUUUUUUGUAAAAAAAUAAAUUUUGAUGAUUAAACUUUUAUGGUAAAUUCUGGUGGAUAUUAACCAUAUGCAACAUAAAUUUCUCCCACAUCACUGUUCUUAAUCUCAGCAAAGAUAAAACCCUCCACACAGAGCUUGCUGUUGCAUCACAGAAGAUGAGCUAUCUAGCAAAUAUUACAGAGGACUGAAUGCAGUAUACAUUUUGAGGAAGCACAUUCAAAAAAGAAAAAAAAGGCUGAUUUUUCCUCUUAGUUUCAUUUGAAUAAUCAGACUCUGAAUUGGAGGACUUAAAUGGAAGUCAAGGAACUUGGAGUGUGAUGAAGGAAGCAGCAAUCAGUUUGAAAAGAUGUUGAAUCUCUGAUGAGCGUUGAAUAUGUCAGAUUAAGUUAUGUCCUAGAAAGGGAGGUUCCCUGAACAACUGCUAGUCACUUUAAAUUAUUCUGCAUUUCAAACAGGAAAUCAUCCAAUUAGACUAACAGCUGCAGAGAUUGGAAUAAGCCUUGCAUAUUAGAAAAUUAAAGAAAAUGCAGCUGAAUACUAUGGAAAGGAGCUAAGGUUGAACUGGUACACCUAUGCAUAUAGGGGAGCAUCAGUACUCUUCCCAAAAGCAAAUUUUUUUCUGAGGGGCUAAAGGGUACUGGAAGGCUGCAAUUAGUUUCCCUGAACAGACUUGCUAGCCUCUGUCAGCACUGCUUGUCUGCACAAAAAAAGGCUAUAACUCAGUGGUUCUUUCCACCUGGGACCAUUUACAGGGAGGCUUUGAGUCAGAGAUGCUGUCUUUGAUCCCCAGUAAGACUAGAGAAACCCCUUUGCAGAGAGCUCAUGUCUGAGACUGCACUAGAAAAUGAUGUGUCUCCUCAGGGAUGCUGAAAAACUCACCACCAACCAGAAAGUGAUCAGUCUUUCACCUACAAGGAUCUGACUGAUGAGCCUGGAAGAGCAGCAAUGAGGCUUUAUUUCAACCUGUCAUGUUAUGAAGACUUUCUCAAAACCAGAAGAAAUCUACAAAAUUGCACAUUAAGUUGUAAGAGAAAAUAUUUUUUAGAUACUCUGCAACUGAUCGUACUUCUGCUUAUAAAAUUGCAAGAGAAGAUUCCUGCAAUCAGUCAUCAAAAUCUUCAAAAUAAACUGAACACCGUAGAUUAAGGGGGAAAGAAGAGGCAUGGAGUAGAACUGCCAAGAGUAGGAAGGAGAAUGCGCUCCUCAACCUUAUAUAACAGUGAAGGCCUUGCUGGAGACUUAUAAUUGGGGGCAGCCUUAGCUGCAGGGAGCAUGAGACUGUGAAGUUCAGUAUUGUGCAACGAGAAAGCAUGGCAGCAAGUAAGACACAAUCACAGGCUUCAUAAAAACUAGCUUUAACCUCUUCCAGGAUCUUCUUGGAAGAAUCCCAUGGGGACAGGUUCUGCAGGGUAGAGGAAUCUGAGAGCUGGUUAAUAAUCAAGAAUCACUUUAUCCAAUCUUAAAAACAAUUCUCUUGAGCUAGCAAUAAACAAAGGGGUGAAGAAACUCACAUGGGUGAAUAAAGAACUCCUGUCAUUAUUCAAGAACAAGCAGGAAAUAUACAGGAAGAUGGAAGCAGGAUCAGGCCACUUGAAAUUAAUAUAGAGAGAGAGGUAGCCAGAGUAAGUAGAAAUGAGAUGAGGAAGGCCACGGUCUAUCUGUGAUUAAUUCUGGCCAAGGAUAUCAAGGACAAGAAGAAGGGCUUUUUAAAAUAUGCCAACAGCAAAAAGAAAACAAAGGGUAAUGUGGGCCCUUUACUAAAUGGAGGGGGAUCCUGGUAACAGAGAGCGCAGAGAAGUCAGAGUUACUGAAUGUCUUCUUUGUGUUGGUCUUCACUGACAAGACCAGCCCUCAGAGCUCUCUUAUCCAGGACUGCAGGGUAGAAGAAUGUUGGAAGGAAGACUUUCCCUCAAACAGUGAAAAAGAGGAUGAGGGGUCCAGAGCAUUUCUCUUAUAAGUACAGGCUGAGGGAGCUGGGCCAGUUCAGUCCCAAGAAGACACGACUGAGAGGGACCUCGUCAAUAUAUACAAGUAUCCAAAGGGAGGGUGCCAAGAGGCAAGACCCAGGCUCUGCUUGGUGGUGUCAAGCAAUAGGACAUGAUGAAAUUGGCAAAACUGAUGCACAAGAAGAUUCCACCUGAAUAUGAGGGAUAACACCCUCCUAGCAAUAGUAUCUCAUCCACGAAAUUUCAGUGAGAAAAUGCUAACUGGUGAACUUUUGUGCUUUAGCUCUAUUGUUAGUCUUUUAUUCCUGUCUUCUCAACUUAGCCAAUUAACCUAUUUAGAUAUGUUAUUUAGGGUUAGGCUCUUUUCUUCUUUACUAAAGAGGGCACUUAGGUAGCCAGUUUAGCUGUCUACUCCACUGCCAAUCAAAGGGCUAGACUGAUUAUAACAAAGGUUCAGCAUCCAUACAUUUUAUAAAUAUUUACUGCACAUUUUUAUCCAUUUUAACCAAAACACCAUAGACAGCCAGCUUCACAGAAGGAGGUAUGUAGUGAUUCUUUACCCUGAACUGAGGUUUUUAAUCUUAAUAAUUUAAGUAUCCAAGUAAUUAAACACUGCAUCCCAGGUACAUAAUAGAUGUAUAUUUGAAUUAUUUGCACUGCAUUAUUUUUUCACAUUGGAAUUGUUAUUUUUUUGUAUAAUUAAAGAAAUUAAUCAUCAUGACACAAAACAACUGAAAAUAUUUGUGUACCCACAGUCAUACAGCAAUGCAGAUUGUGUGAACUGGAAUAAUUAGACCAAGAAUACUUGACAGAAUGUGAUAAGUCAGUAUAGUCCUGUCACGUGACAGACAUAACAGGACUGAAGUGAAGAAAUGGCAGACUACUACAUCCAAACCAACUGAUCAGAAAUGGUUUAGUGCCAGAUUAUUAUUCUAAACAAGACAUAUGAUGCAUACAGAACACUGUAAAGGCUCAGCAGGAACACAAUGCUUUCAGAUAUUACCAGUCUCAAAAAGCAUGAACUAUGACUUUCAGCACACAGGGAAGGGGAGUGAGGGAUUAAAGCAAUAACCUCUGUACAAUGAGUACUGUGUUUUUACAUCAUUAGCAAAACCAAAAUGACUGUUCUAUUUGUAUAAGCCUACAAAUAUUGAAAGAAAUUAUUAUUAUAUCAUAUCUGUUGGACUUGAACUGAGUUGAAUAAUUCUAUCUGCUUUGACAGCUGUCUGCAUUGGAUUUUCUGUUGCUAAAAGCAACAGCUUAGAUAUCUGUGAAAUGAAUGGACAAAAUAAUCCACAGGCACUUCAAAACUUUGUGUACAUGUUUAUUCUUACUGUAUGCCAUAUCCACAAACAUAUUUGAGUAUGUAAAAAUAUAUGUAUAUGUGUAUGUUGAGUAUGCUUUGCCAAACACCAAAUGGUUAUGCUGUGAAUGCAUAUGUACAGUAAUCAUGACUCUGAAACAUAUUUUUGCAAAAUAUUUAUUAAGUAGUUCAAUUUGUAGGAUUACAAGCUACUUAAACAAUUGUGCUAACUGAACAUAAUUGCUAUAUAUGUGAUCCUGAGGAGUAACCAGGAAUGGAGUAGUCCUAUAUUGUAUCUGUAGAAUGUUUUCCAAUCUAGACAAAGCACAGAUGUUUUAUCCCCAGAUAACAGUUCCAUCUGAGAUAAUAGGCAGGUUAAGAGAGACGUACAUCAGGAGCAGAACUGUUCCUCCUCCACGUCCAUGCAGUUCAAGUGGAUAAAACAGGUGAGAUUUGAGAGGAAUGCUGGGAAUGCCCAUCCAGUAGAGUAACCGAAUGACUGACUGACCAAAACAGAAAAGAAUACUGAAUUAGUGGAUGCCAGACAUGUUUUUACUAGAACCAAACACUUAAGACUCCUUCACAACAUGGAAAACCAGCUAUCACGGUGAAGGAAUACAGCGCUGGGAAUCAGGUCACCUUCUGACUUUAAGAAGAUUUCCAACCCCAAAGAAGGGAAGAGGUUAGACAGGCACUGCUUGGAAAGAGAGUGUGGCAUCACAGGGGACAGAGAUGGAAAUGAACAAGGCUGACAAAGUAAAUGGAGCAAAUUUCUUUGGAGGGCUAGAAUGUACUUUUCCCCUAGUCUAAAAAAGUGCAGUUUUCUGUUGCUUUUUGGUUGGAUGGAAUUGUCUUGACCUUCUGUUGGACUGCAAAUAAAGUCGGAGAUUCUGCAUAACAAGGACAUUGAUACUCACUGCCCUAAAUAGCAGGAGGAAGGAGCCAUCUAAUGCUCUGUUGUCAUAUACUUCCCAGAACCUCAUGUCUCGUCAGAGGAAAUAAUUUUCAUUCUCCUUUUUCAUUUACAGCUAACAAAGACAGGAAAACCUUUACCUUACUACUGAAUAGUAGUAAGGUGUUAUGUAACAAUCUGCUUUUUGAUUUCCAGUACUUUUGGAUGAGUUCUAAUUCUAUUGUCUAACACUGACAAAUUACUAUCAUUAGUGAGACAAUUUCAGUGAAGAUAUAUAAAUAACCAAUUAUAAUUUAUAAAUUGCAUACUACUUAUAUAUAUAUAAUUUACAAAUUCUGAAAAAUAAACCACAUAUAGAUAAAUUAAAUACGAUACAUAAUGAAACAAGCAGAUAGAAGUUGAUUUAAGCUAAUUAAAAAUUGCCCAUCUACCCUCAUUAUGGUUCCUAAUGUAUUCAUCUCUGUUAGAAUCUUUCAUCUCUCAUGUCUGCUGAAACAAAGGAAAGAAAAUUAAUUAGAAUUAUUUAAUACUUUUUUGUUUAUAUAUGGAGGAUUUUUUCCUUUAAAAAAUAGGCCUUAAUAGAAAUAAACUAGGAUAUGUCCCUAGCUUAUUUCUUGUCCAUUAAUUGUUAUCUAUGUUGCUACAGUAAAUCUCUAGCAUUUGUUGUUGUUUAAUUCAAAGAACUAUUCCAGCUGCAAGAGCAGCCUGAAUUUCAUCAGUGAAUAACAAAAGCUCUUCUACAUUCUUGAAUCCUUGGGAUGUGCCUUAAGAAGGGCUCAGAGUAUUUCAAAUUUUUAACUUAAAUUAAUUCAUAACAGUGCCAGUUUUUUUCCACAGUCCAUAAAGACAGCUUAGACUGACUCGCAUAGGUGAGUCCCUUCUGGUUUCCUGUCUCCUGCCUAUUGUCUACACGUGUGGUUGGGAUAUGGAAAUGUUUUUUCCUAGUGUGAUAAUCACCAACGAGGAAAACAGGAAGAAACAUUAUAUGCUGAGAGUGGCAGAAAGAGUUUAUUUAAAUUCUACUGAGUUUCCUGUUUCAGCACUUAGUGAUGGUAUCCAGUAUAACUUUAGGCCAUUCUCUCAGAGUCCAAGUCUAGUGUUUUUGCAUAUCAAAUUUUACAGGACUACUGAAUCAUAAAAUCAUUUAGGUUGGAAAAGACUACAAGAUCAUUGAGUCCAAACAAUCAUCACUUUGGUAACUAAAUCACAGCACCAAGAGCAGCCCCUCAAUGUCUUCCUUGUCGUGGUGGGCCCAAAACUGAACACAGCAUUCAAAGUUUGGUCUCAGUGCCGAGUACAGGGGGAUGGUCUCUGCACUGGUCCUGGUGGACACACUAUUGUUGAUACAAUAUUUUGAUAUUUUGGUAUUCUACAAAAUAUUCAUAGAGAAGCUUACUUAUCAGGAAAAACUAAUUUUGAAAGUAAUUUAUAACUCCAUCACAGAAAAAGAAGCAGAGAAUCUCUUAACACUGGCAGCUUUCUUCCUAGGGUCUCCUGUACACAAUGGAAGCUGAAAUUUCUGUGAUACACAUGUAUCAAUUUCUACUUAUCAUGCUUCUUAAGACAGGAAUUUAAGGACUGUUAGACAAAUUUGACUUUUUAAGAAAAUUAUCACAAAUGCAUUAUUAUUGUUUUUCUAUUUCUACAUAUUUUUGGUAAAGCAAAACAAAAUGAAAAACCAAACAAACAUGUAUACCAAAAAUCCCCUAGCAAUGACUAAAGACUCGUGGCUUGAUCACCUUUCAGUCUUAAAGGUAAAAUGAUCAUGGUGUUAAUAAAAUAUUUUAAAAGUCUCUUUAGAAAGAAGGGUACAAACUACAUUCAGAAUAAAUACUGUUUGAUAUUUUAUAAUCUAAUGCAGUUAUUUAACAUAAACAGGAUAAAUUUGGAGUCAGUCAUUUGUGCUACCUUAUCCUUACAAAAAAAUACAAGUGGUCAUUUAAAAGGGAACGUGGCAUAUAAGAAACUAAACUAUCAAUAGCACUGGUAAUAUAGUAGAGCCCAAGGCCCAGAAGAAAUCAAGAUUGCGGGGAAAAGUCAGUAGUUGGAAGAGUUUUCAUCCAGAACUGAAAGCCCAGACUCUUCUGUAAAAAUGAACACAUCUGAAAUACAGCUGGAGUGUGGGAGAAUCAAAGCAAUACAGAGCAGCUGAGCUGGGGAUGUACCUCUGGGGAUCAUUAGUCAAACUCAUGCUGCAGGCAGGAUCACUAAAAGCAAGUUCCCCCAGAUCAUCUCCAGUCAGACUUUCAAUAUCUCCAAAGAUUUCUAUACCUACGUCCAGUAUUUGACCACUGUCCCAGUAAAAAGAAGUUUAUUUCUUAUAUUCAAAUAGCAUGUCUUGUACUUUAACUAGUGCCUGAAAAACAGCCUACAGAUCUGCUCUGGCAGCUUCAUUCCUUUCUCUAACUUGGUGGGGGAAGAAAGUGGGAUUUUGUUGGCAGGCAGUUCACUAAAUUCACAAAAAUACCAAAAGGAGGAUGCUACUGUCAUGAAGUUGUAUUAAAAAGACAUAUGAAGCUGAAUAAUAUGUCAGUGAGAGAGACUGUCUUUUGCAACUUAUGUUAAAAGCUGGCAAGUGGCUGCUGCACAUGUAGGACCUCAGACGGGUCUCCUUCCUUUCUCUAGCCAUUCCCAAGAGGAAACAGGAGAUUACAAUGGCCAUGAAACUCCCAGGAAAGGUAGAGCUAAACCAGCUCUGCAUAGUCUUGGUGCUGGAAAAGGAAGACAAGGAGUAAAAUGAAGGCUAUUCACCUGAGUUUUGUGAGGACUGGACUUAUGGGAAGAUCCAGAGAAGGGGACAUCCCUCCUUUGAGUUACAAGUGUACAUGAUGGCAAAGUCUGUAGUGAGCUCUCAAUCUGAUCAUUUCUCCAGCCAUCAAUCUGCCAUUUCAUGUCUAUAUUUGCCUUUAUCUCUAUUUGCAAAAGAAAAUAUGCCUCUGUUCUUAGAAAAUGCAAAUGUCUCUGAAGAAAGUAAAGUAAAUAUGAGAGAAAAAUCUGAAUAUGCGGAAACAAUUUUUUGCUGUGAGAGUAACCAAGAAAUGACACAGGUUGCCAGAGAGAUGGUGGACUCUUCAUCCUUGCAGAUAAUCAAAAGGCAUCUGACCUGGUCCUGAGAAACCUGCUCUAGGUGGCACUGCUUGAAUAGGGGAGGUGGACCAAAUGACA
Taeniopygia guttata (zebra finch) is the source of this 7383-nucleotide non-coding RNA. The record is from RefSeq and is a predicted model, not a curated record. Lineage: Eukaryota; Metazoa; Chordata; Aves; Passeriformes; Estrildidae.